AUGGGGUUCUUUACAUACCUGGAAGCCAGCCAUGCAUCACACGAAGCAUCAAAGGCCGGCGCCAGGUGCGACGAGAGGCUCGUCAUGCAUCGCGUCACCGACGGCGGGUGCUUGGACGACUUCAACAAGGCGAUGGAAGUGUGCCGCGGCGUCUACAGUCCCGAAGCUUCAGAACGCGACAUUCGCCGAGGCAAGGCCAAGCGCGUCGUGGACGUGGAGGCUUGCGUCAAGGCCACGGCGGCGCUGCGCGAGUGCUUCGCCAGCAACCCCAAGCUUUUCAAGCACCAGUACCUCCGCCGCAUCGACGAGGGCCUGGACCAGGACACCAAGCCGUCCGAGUGGCAGAUUUAUCAAGAUGAAAAAGCCAUCUUCAGGUGGUGGACUGACCUGAGGAGAAGCUAA
This 402-nucleotide ribosomal RNA is filed under the name Triticum aestivum (bread wheat). RNAcentral's name for it is "partial small subunit ribosomal RNA". Lineage: Eukaryota; Viridiplantae; Streptophyta; Magnoliopsida; Poales; Poaceae. The record is from RNAcentral.